UACGUAGGGCGCAAGCGUUGUCCGGAAUUAUUGGGCGUAAAGAGCUCGUAGGCGGUCUGUCGCGUCGGAUGUGAAAGCCCGGGGCUUAACCCCGGGUCUGCAUUCGAUACGGGCAGACUAGAGUGUGGUAGGGGAGAUCGGAAUUCCUGGUGUAGCGGUGAAAUGCGCAGAUAUCAGGAGGAACACCGGUGGCGAAGGCGGGUCUCUGGGCCGAUAUUGACGCUGAGGAGCGAAAGCGUGGGGAGCGAACAGG
This 253-nucleotide ribosomal RNA is filed under the name uncultured bacterium. RNAcentral describes it as "partial 16S ribosomal RNA". It matches the Rfam family "Bacterial small subunit ribosomal RNA", at positions 524 to 776 of the family's 1533-position model. The record is from RNAcentral.